CGUUUUCAAAUAAUAAUCACCUGUGGAGCGUGGUCUAUCUUUCUUUGACGGUUUACUUGACAAUUUAUUGUUCAUUUUGUUCAAUAUACAAUUCUCUUAAUAUUCCAUCAGAAUAUCGUCUUUUUGUAACGAAGAAACCUCAUAAAUCCAUGGAAAAUUACAUAAAUACACACAUUUCGAUUUUGUUUUGUCCGCCAUUUAAAAAGUAAACGAUAACCAUGGCAACAACGGGUACCAGUCC
Non-coding RNA from Paramuricea clavata, 241 nucleotides. The record is from the annotation of a GenBank genome assembly. NCBI's taxonomy places the organism in Eukaryota, Metazoa, Cnidaria, Anthozoa, Malacalcyonacea, Plexauridae.